GACGAACGCUGGCGGCGUGCUUAACACAUGCCAGUCGAACGGAAAGGCCCUGCUUUUGUGGGGUGCUCGAGUGGCGAAAGGGUGAGUAACACGUGAGUAACCUGCCCUUGACUUUGGGAUAACUUCAGGAAACUGGGGCUAAUACCGGAUAGGAGCUACUGCUGCAUGGUGGGGGUUGGAAAGUUUCGGCGGUUGGGGAUGGACUAGCGGCUUAUCAGCUUGUUGGUGGGGUAGUGGCUUACCAAGGCUUUGACGGGUAGCCGGCCUGAGAGGGUGGCCGGCCACAUUGGGACUGAGAGACGGCCCAGACUCCUACGGGAGGCAGCAGUGGGGAAUAUUGCACAAUGGGCGGAAGCCUGAGGCAGCAACGCCGCGUGCGGGAUGACGGCCUUCGGGGUGUAAACCGCUGUCGCCUGUGACGAAGCGUGAGUGACGGUAAUUGGUAAAGAAGCACCGGCUAACUACGUG
RNAcentral lists this ribosomal RNA (468 nucleotides) under uncultured bacterium. Its description in RNAcentral is "partial 16S ribosomal RNA". It matches the Rfam family "Bacterial small subunit ribosomal RNA", at positions 28 to 507 of the family's 1533-position model. The record is from RNAcentral.